RNAcentral lists this ribosomal RNA (494 nucleotides) under uncultured bacterium. RNAcentral's name for it is "partial 16S ribosomal RNA". It matches the Rfam family "Bacterial small subunit ribosomal RNA", at positions 28 to 507 of the family's 1533-position model. The record is from RNAcentral.
GACGAACGCUGGCGGCGUGCUUAACACAUGCAAGUCGAACGGAAAGGCCUGCUUUCCCUUGUGGAUUGCGGGUACUCGAGUGGCGAACGGGUGAGUAACACGUGAGUGAUCUGCCCCCAACUUGGGUAUAAGCCUGGGAAACUGGGUCUAAUUCCCGAUAGGACUGCAGGGUGGUGCCUGUGGUGGAAAACGAUUUUCUAGUGGUUGGGGAUGAGCUCGCGGCCUAUCAGCUUGUUGGUGGGGUAAUGGCCUACCAAGGCGGCGACGGGUAGCCGGCCUGAGAGGGUGGACGGCCACAUUGGGACUGAGAUACGGCCCAGACUCCUACGGGAGGCAGCAGUGGGGAAUAUUGCACAAUGGGCGGAAGCCUGAUGCAGCGACGCCGCGUGGGGGAUGACGGCCUUCGGGUUGUAAACUCCUUUCGACCGCGAGGAAGCCACCUGGUUGGAAGGGUGGUGACGGUAGUGGUAGAAGAAGCACCGCCUAACUACGUG